GACGAACGCUGGCGGCGUGCCUAAUACAUGCAAGUAGAACGCUGAAGGAGGAGCUUGCUUCUCUGGAUGAGUUGCGAACGGGUGAGUAACGCGUAGGUAACCUGCCUGGUAGCGGGGGAUAACUAUUGGAAACGAUAGCUAAUACCGCAUAAUAGCAGUUGUUGCAUGAUAACUGUUUGAAAGGUGCAAUUGCACCACUACCAGAUGGACCUGCGUUGUAUUAGCUAGUUGGUGGGGUAACGGCUCACCAAGGCGACGAUACAUAGCCGACCUGAGAGGGUGAUCGGCCACACUGGGACUGAGACACGGCCCAGACUCCUACGGGAGGCAGCAGUAGGGAAUCUUCGGCAAUGGACGGAAGUCUGACCGAGCAACGCCGCGUGAGUGAAGAAGGUUGUCGGAUCGUAAAGCUCUGUUGUAAGAGAAGAACGAGUGUGAGAGUGGAAAGUUCACACUGUGACGGUAUCUUACCAGAAAGGGACGGCUAACUACGUG
RNAcentral lists this ribosomal RNA (495 nucleotides) under uncultured bacterium. Its description in RNAcentral is "partial 16S ribosomal RNA". It matches the Rfam family "Bacterial small subunit ribosomal RNA", at positions 28 to 507 of the family's 1533-position model. The record is from RNAcentral.